AUCAUUAUAUUACUUGAGCAAUUUCGUGCACUUGCGAAAUAGGCUAACAGCUCCUUUCGAACUCCAUAAGCUGAGGGUAGAAGUGGCUUAGCUCGUUAAAUUUGUUGGCAUAUUCCAGUACUGUCAUAUCAUCCUUUUGCUUCAAAGUCAGGAACUCAUUCUCUUUUACUAAUCUCAUUGUCUCAAGAAAGUACUGAUCAUAAAAUAUCCCUUUGAACUCCUCUCAAGUCAG
Molecule: long non-coding RNA, 232 nt
Filed under: Elaeis guineensis (African oil palm)
Lineage: Eukaryota; Viridiplantae; Streptophyta; Magnoliopsida; Arecales; Arecaceae
Description: long non-coding RNA (EGUI_LNC004158)
Source: RNAcentral